Mercenaria mercenaria is the source of this 476-nucleotide long non-coding RNA. RefSeq lists it as uncharacterized. The transcript is spliced from 2 exons. Lineage: Eukaryota; Metazoa; Mollusca; Bivalvia; Venerida; Veneridae. The record is from RefSeq and is a predicted model, not a curated record.
UAUCAUUCAAUCUUUGGCAGCAACACUUAUUAUUCAAAGGGGUGUUUACUGAAAAAUUUCUGACUGAAUAGCGAACAGCGCAGAUCAGCCUGCACGGAACUACAUGUUGAUCUUGGAUUUAUAUUGUUAGCGCGGUGAAAUCACUUGCCGUCAGCAGGCUAAAGUCCAAUGGAUUGUUCGCUUCCAACUAGGCAUUAUAAACAUGAGGAAAUACGUAUCUUAUGGCCAUGUGGUAUUUGAGGUAGUCGGCUGUCACUGCAGGGCAUUUCUAAGAAGACUUAACCGGUAUUUCUGAUGAGAUCCAUACCACUUAUUGUUCUAUACUACUUGACAAGACAUUGCUGAGUUGUCGUAUAUCUUUCACAUGACAGUACUACGUCAUACUAUUUGUUGUAGAACUGAAAUAGGUUACCGAAAUAUAUUUGGUUUAUACUGUAAAAUAUUAAAUUACUUGUUAUAAAGCCAAGAAAAAUAUA